RNAcentral lists this ribosomal RNA (253 nucleotides) under uncultured bacterium. RNAcentral describes it as "partial 16S ribosomal RNA". It matches the Rfam family "Bacterial small subunit ribosomal RNA", at positions 524 to 776 of the family's 1533-position model. The record is from RNAcentral.
UACGUAGGGGGCGAGCGUUGUCCGGAAUUACUGGGCGUAAAGGGCGCGUAGGCGGCCCGUUAAGUCCGCUGUGAAAGACCGAGGCUCAACCUCGGGGUGUCAGCGGAGACUGUCGGGCUGGAGUCUCGGAGAGGGAUGCGGAAUUCCACGUGUAGCGGUGAAAUGCGUAGAGAUGUGGAGGAACACCAGUGGCGAAGGCGACUUUCUGGACCGUAACUGACGCUGAGGCGCGAAAGCGUGGGGAGCAAACAGG